RNAcentral lists this ribosomal RNA (468 nucleotides) under uncultured bacterium. RNAcentral describes it as "partial 16S ribosomal RNA". It matches the Rfam family "Bacterial small subunit ribosomal RNA", at positions 28 to 507 of the family's 1533-position model. The record is from RNAcentral.
GACGAACGCUGGCGGCGUGCUUAACACAUGCAAGUCGAACGGAAAGGCCCUGCUUUUGUGGGGUGCUCGAGUGGCGAACGGGUGAGUAACACGUGAGUAACCUGCCCUUGACUUUGGGAUAACUUCAGGAAACUGGGGCUACUACCGGAUAGGAGCUCCUGCUGCAUGGUGGGGGUUGGAAAGUUUCGGCGGUUGGGGAUGGACUCGCGGCUUAUCAGCUUGUUGGUGGGGUAGUGGCUUACCAAGGCUUUGACGGGUAGCUGGCAUGAGAGGGUGACCGGCCACAUUGGGACUGAGAUACGGCCCAGACUCCUACGGGAGGCAGCAGGGGGGAAUAUUGCACAAUGGGCGGAAGCCUGAUGCAGCAACGCCGCGUGCGGGAUGACGGCCUUCGGGUUGUAAACCGCUUUCGCCUGUGACGAAGCGUGAGUGACGGUAAUGGGUAAAGAAGCACCGGCUAACUACGUG